RNAcentral lists this long non-coding RNA (203 nucleotides) under Microcebus murinus (gray mouse lemur). RNAcentral describes it as "ZFAT antisense RNA 1 conserved region 2 (ENSMICG00000037195.2)". It matches the Rfam family "ZFAT antisense RNA 1 conserved region 2". Lineage: Eukaryota; Metazoa; Chordata; Mammalia; Primates; Cheirogaleidae. The record is from RNAcentral.
CAGCAGCUGUCUCUUCUCUUUCUCCCAACACAUACUUCCCAGAUGCCUUCAGAAGUGUUGAUAAGGAAUAGAUAAGCCUCUCCUAAGGCUUAUCAAAACCAUGGAAAGUUGAAAAGAGAAACUUCCUUAAAUGCCAGUUUAUUAAGAAGAACGAAAGUGUAUGAAAUCAGGAUCAAAGAUCUCAGCGCACAUUCCUGGCACUG